Molecule: small RNA, 286 nt
Filed under: Ursus americanus (American black bear)
Lineage: Eukaryota; Metazoa; Chordata; Mammalia; Carnivora; Ursidae
Description: 7SK RNA (ENSUAMG00000005487.1)
Rfam family: 7SK RNA
About the family: 7SK was discovered as an abundant small nuclear RNA in the mid-70s but a possible function has only recently been suggested. Two independent studies have found that 7SK RNA binds the CDK9/cyclin T complex (known as elongation factor P-TEFb). P-TEFb activates transcription by phosphorylating the C-terminal domain of RNA polymerase II.
Source: RNAcentral
GGAUGUGAGGGCGAUCUGGCUGUGACAUCUGUCACCCCAUUGAUCGCCAGGAUUGAUUCAGCUGAUCUGGCUGGCUAGGUGGGUGUCCCCUUCCUCCCUCACUGCUUCAUGUGUGUCCCUCCCGAAGCUGCGCGCUUGGUCGAAGAGGACGACCUUCCCCGAUAGAGGAGGACCGUUCUUCGGUCAACGGUAUACGAGUAGCUGCGCUCCCCUGCUAGAACCUCCAAACAAGCUCUCAGAUGACUUCAUCAAGGGCUUGUCUUGCCAGUAAUCUCACUGAUGGAGU